GACGAACGCUGGCGGCGUGCUUAACACAUGCAAGUCGAACGGUAAGGCCCUUCGGGGUACACGAGUGGCGAACGGGUGAGUAACACGUGGGUGAUCUGCCCUGCACUUCGGGAUAAGACUGGGAACUGGGUCUAAUACCGGACAGGACCACUGCCUGCAUGGGUGGUGGUGGAAAGCUGUUGCGGUGUGGGAUGGGCCCGCGGCCUAUCAGCUUGGUGGUGGGGUGAUGGCCUACCAAGGCGACGACGGGUAGCCGGCCUGGGAGGGUGACCGGCCACACUGGGACUGAGAUACGGCCCAGACUCCUACGGGAGGCAGCAGUGGGGAAUAUUGCACAAUGGGCGCAAGCCUGAUGCAGCGACGCCGCGUGAGGGAUGACGGCCUUCGGGUUGUAAACCUCUUUCAGCACCGACGAAGCGCAAGUGACGGUAGGUGCAGAAGAAGGACCGGCCAACUACGUGCCAGCCGCCGCGGUAA
This 477-nucleotide ribosomal RNA is filed under the name uncultured bacterium. RNAcentral describes it as "partial 16S ribosomal RNA". It matches the Rfam family "Bacterial small subunit ribosomal RNA", at positions 28 to 523 of the family's 1533-position model. The record is from RNAcentral.